This 506-nucleotide ribosomal RNA is filed under the name uncultured Glomus. RNAcentral describes it as "SSU rRNA". It matches the Rfam family "Eukaryotic small subunit ribosomal RNA", at positions 569 to 1077 of the family's 1831-position model. Lineage: Eukaryota; Fungi; Glomeromycota; Glomeromycetes; Glomerales; Glomeraceae. The record is from RNAcentral.
AGCAGCCGCGGUAAUUCCAGCUCCAAUAGCGUAUAUUAAAGUUGUUGCAGUUAAAAAGCUCGUAGUUGAAUUUCGGGGUCAGUAGGUUGGUCGUGCCACUGGUAUGCACUGGUCUCACUGAUUCCUCCUUCCUGAUGAGCCGUAAUGCCAUUAAUUUGGUGUUGCGGGGAAUCUGGACUGUUACUUUGGAAAAAUUAGAGUGUUUAAAGCAGGCUAACGCUUGAAUACAUUAGCAUGGAAUAAUGAAAUAGGACGAUCGAUCCUAUUUUGUUGGUUUCUAGGAUUGACGUAAUGAUUAAUAGGGAUAGUUGGGGGCAUUAGUAUUCAAUUGUCAGAGGUGAAAUUCUUGGAUUUAUUGAAGACUAACUACUGCGAAAGCAUUUGCCAAGGAUGUUUUCAUUAAUCAAGAACGAAAGUUAGGGGAUCGAAGACGAUCAGAUACCGUCGUAGUCUUAACCAUAAACUAUGCCGACUAGGGAUCGGAUGAUGUUAAUUUUUAACGACUC